UGGGGAAUAUUGCACAAUGGGCGCAAGCCUGAUGCAGCCAUGCCGCGUGUGUGAAGAAGGCCUUCGGGUUGUAAAGCACUUUCAGCGAGGAGGAAGGUGGUGAGCUUAAUACGCUCAUCAAUUGACGUUACUCGCAGAAGAAGCACCGGCUAACUCCGUGCCAGCAGCCGCGGUAAUACGGAGGGUGCAAGCGUUAAUCGGAAUUACUGGGCGUAAAGCGCACGCAGGCGGUUUGUUAAGUCAGAUGUGAAAUCCCCGGGCUCAACCUGGGAACUGCAUUUGAAACUGGCAAGCUAGAGUCUCGUAGAGGGGGGUAGAAUUCCAGGUGUAGCGGUGAAAUGCGUAGAGAUCUGGAGGAAUACCGGUGGCGAAGGCGGCCCCCUGGACGAAGACUGACGCUCAGGUGCGAAAGCGUGGGGCAGCAAACAGGAUUAGAUACCCUGGUAGUCCAGCGCUGUAAACGAUGUCGAUUUGGAGGUUGUGCCCUUGAGGCGUGGCUUCCGGAGCUAACGCGUUAAAUCGACCGCCUGGGGAGUACGGCCGCAAGGUUAAAACUC
This 557-nucleotide ribosomal RNA is filed under the name uncultured bacterium. Its description in RNAcentral is "partial 16S ribosomal RNA". It matches the Rfam family "Bacterial small subunit ribosomal RNA", at positions 355 to 902 of the family's 1533-position model. The record is from RNAcentral.